This 393-nucleotide ribosomal RNA is filed under the name Shigella sonnei. RNAcentral describes it as "bacterial SSU rRNA". It matches the Rfam family "Bacterial small subunit ribosomal RNA", at positions 1 to 390 of the family's 1533-position model. Lineage: Bacteria; Pseudomonadati; Pseudomonadota; Gammaproteobacteria; Enterobacterales; Enterobacteriaceae. The record is from RNAcentral.
AAAUUGAAGAGUUUGAUCAUGGCUCAGAUUGAACGCUGGCGGCAGGCCUAACACAUGCAAGUCGAACGGUAACAGGAAACAGCUUGCUGUUUCGCUGACGAGUGGCGGACGGGUGAGUAAUGUCUGGGAAACUGCCUGAUGGAGGGGGAUAACUACUGGAAACGGUAGCUAAUACCGCAUAAUGUCGCAAGACUAAAGAGGGGGACCUUCGGGCCUCUUGCCAUCGGAUGUGCCCAGAUGGGAUUAGCUAGUAGGUGGGGUAACGGCUCACCUAGGCGACGAUCCCUAGCUGGUCUGAGAGGAUGACCAGCCACACUGGAACUGAGACACGGUCCAGACUCCUACGGGAGGCAGCAGUGGGGAAUAUUGCACAAUGGGCGCAAGCCUGAUGCA